Molecule: ribosomal RNA, 861 nt
Filed under: uncultured archaeon
Lineage: Archaea
Description: SSU rRNA
Rfam family: Archaeal small subunit ribosomal RNA
Source: RNAcentral
UACCAGCUCUCCGAGUGGUAGGGAUGAUUAUUGGGCUUAAAGCGUCCGUAGCCGGCUUAGCAAGUCUCCUGUUAAAUUCAGCGACCUAAUCGUUGACCCGCGGGAGACACUACUAGGCUAGGAGGCGGGAGAGGUCGACGGUAUUCUCGGGGUAGGGGUGAAAUCCUAUAAUCCCGGGAGGACCACCAGUGGCGAAGGCUGUCGGCUAGAACGCGCUCGACGGUGAGGGACGAAAGCUGGGGGAGCAAACCGGAUUAGAUACCCGGGUAGUCCCAGCUGUAAACGAUGCGGGCUAGGUGUUGGGGUGGCUACGAGCCACUUCAGUGCCGCAGGGAAGCCGUUAAGCCCGCCGCCUGGGGAGUACGGCCGCAAGGCUGAAACUUAAAGGAAUUGGCGGGGGAGCACCACAAGGCGUGAAGCUUGCGGUUCAAUUGGAGUCAACGCCGGGAACCUUACCGGGGGCGACAGCAGAAUGAAGGCCAGAUUGAAGGUCUUGCCGGACAAGCUGAGAGGAGGUGCAUGGCCGUCGCCAGUUCGUGCCGUGAGGUGUCCUGUUAAGUCAGGCAACGAUCGAGACCCGCACCCUUAGUUGCUACCAAGGAAGUUUUCCAAGGGGCACUCUAAGGGGACUGCCGCCGACAAGGCGGAGGAAGGAGCGGGCCACGGCAGGUCAGUAUGCCCCGAAUCCCCCGGGCCACACGCGAGCUGCAAUGGCAGGGACAAUGGGUUCCCACCUUGAAAAAGGGAGGCAAUCCCUAAACCCUGCCUCAGUUGGGAUCGAGGGCUGCAACCCGCCCUCGUGAACAUGGAAUGCCUAGUAAUCGCGCGUCAUCAUCGCGCGGUGAAUACGUCCCCGCUCCU